Molecule: long non-coding RNA, 269 nt
Filed under: Mytilus galloprovincialis (Mediterranean mussel)
Lineage: Eukaryota; Metazoa; Mollusca; Bivalvia; Mytilida; Mytilidae
Source: RNAcentral
GUCCUUUGUUGUCGAUAGCUAUAAAAUGCAAUCAGCUGAUUAUUGAUUUUCUGUCCAAAUCUUAAUGAGGUCAAGGUGAAUUCCGAGUAUUGCCUGAUCAGACAAAGUCCGAGAAAUUCGAAAAAAGUAAAUAAACAAGAUGGAGGAAAAUAAAUCGUUCUAUAUAUUUCUUUCGCCAAAUUCUUUCGCAAAUGACGAAUUUUUAUCGCCACAAUUAUUAUUUUUUCGCAAAUUGCGAAAAUGGCGACCGCCAGCGGAAACCCUGCCUC